UCCUUCACUUGGAUGCUGGUCAUGAAAUGAAGCCACCCUUGCUUCACCCCAAGACCCAUGCUGCUGCCUUUUUGUUCCUGUGCCGAACCACUGCUGGUAGCUGGGAUUUGCGGAGCUUGUGAGGGGGAUCUGUCGCGCCCCCGUCGUCAUCACCUGGCCGGGCAAAGGUCGGCACCGUGGCAGUUGGUGCCCAGCAUGUGAGGCUCCCUUCCUCGUCUUCAAAAACAAAUGGGCAGGAUUGGUGGGGGCGCCCGCCUCACGGAAAAGGAGGAAGGGAACAAAGACAUCGAUGACAGCUUCAAGCUCCGCCUUGUGACUCAAAGAAGUCCCCGGACUAUCAGUGAACAUCGCAUUUGAUCGGCACACCUGGUGAGGAGAGGGACUGGUGCAGGAAGAUCCUCAGGGACCAUACCCCUAUUGUACCUUAAACCCGUGAGUCAGCCGAGGAUCACCUGCCAGAGGAUGACCUGACACCCGUGCUUGGAGGCAGCCACCGGUUUUACCGUAACGUUCCCCGUAAGAUUCGCACCUGUCGCGCCCCCGUUGUCGUCGUCGCCUGGCUGGGCCACGGUCAGCGCCGCGGCAAGGAUCCUUAUUCUGCUCCAGGUGCCCAGGGCUGAAAUUUGGAUUCCAUCUCCAAAAUUCUAUGAGGGCAAGGCAAAACCAUUCUCCUCAUCACCACAACUCACAGGAACUGAAAGCUGGGGACUAAGAAGAGGGUUUUAAAGAAGUGACAUGGAUGG
Serinus canaria (Common canary) is the source of this 743-nucleotide long non-coding RNA. RefSeq lists it as uncharacterized. Lineage: Eukaryota; Metazoa; Chordata; Aves; Passeriformes; Fringillidae. The record is from RefSeq and is a predicted model, not a curated record. The transcript is spliced from 3 exons.